GAUGAAGAACGCAGCGAAAUGCGAUAAGUAGUGUGAAUUGCAGAAUUCAGUGAAUCAUCGAGUCUUUGAACGCACAUUGCGCCCCUUGGUAUUCCAUGGGGCAUGCCUGUUCGAGCGUCAUUUGUACCCUCAAGCUUUGCUUGGUGUUGGGUGUUUGUCCCGCGUUGCGCGUGGACUCGCCUUAAAGCGAUUGGCAGCCGGCAUAUUGGCCUUGGAGCGCAGCACAUUUUGCGCUUCUAGUCAUGAAUGUUGGCGUCCAUUAAGCCUAUACAUUUGCUCUUGACCUCGGAUCAGGUAGGGAUACCCGCUGAACUUAAGCAUAUCAAUAAGCGGAGGA
Molecule: unclassified non-coding RNA, 337 nt
Filed under: soil metagenome
Description: partial contains 5.8S ribosomal RNA, internal transcribed spacer 2, and large subunit ribosomal RNA
Rfam family: 5.8S ribosomal RNA (bases 1-120)
Source: RNAcentral